Molecule: microRNA precursor, 105 nt
Filed under: Mesocricetus auratus (golden hamster)
Lineage: Eukaryota; Metazoa; Chordata; Mammalia; Rodentia; Cricetidae
Description: miRNA (ENSMAUG00000001521.1)
Source: RNAcentral
AAAUGCCUCCUUGAGAUCCAGCUGUAAGGCAUUUUCUCAUUUAUUGAACAAUGGGGGCAGACCCAGCCCAUGGUGGUUGGUGCCAUCUCUGGACUGGUGGUCUUG